RNAcentral lists this small nuclear RNA (385 nucleotides) under Erinaceus europaeus (western European hedgehog). RNAcentral describes it as "7SK RNA". It matches the Rfam family "7SK RNA". From Rfam's summary of the family: 7SK was discovered as an abundant small nuclear RNA in the mid-70s but a possible function has only recently been suggested. Two independent studies have found that 7SK RNA binds the CDK9/cyclin T complex (known as elongation factor P-TEFb). P-TEFb activates transcription by phosphorylating the C-terminal domain of RNA polymerase II. Lineage: Eukaryota; Metazoa; Chordata; Mammalia; Eulipotyphla; Erinaceidae. The record is from Rfam by way of RNAcentral.
AAAAGCCAGGGGGAGCCAGCAUACUACCCAACAAUCCAUCACCCCAUUCAUUGGUCUCCAGGGUUGAGAUGGAUCUGGCUGGCAAAGUGGGUGUCCCCUUCCUCCCUCACCGCUCCAUGUGUGUCUCUCCCAAAGCUGCUCUGCACUCUGUGGAAGAGGACGGCCUUCCCAGACUUCCCAGAGAUGGACUGACCUUCAGUCAAGGGUUUAAGAGUAGCUGCUCUCCCCUUGCUAGAAGCUCCAAAAAGCUCUCAAGAACUGCCGUCCUCCCACAUUGCCAAGUCAUGCUUUGACCUUCACGGCUUCACUCUACUUUUCAAAUGUCUUCAUCAAGAAGGUGAUGGAGACGGUGCAAGCGGUCCAGCAAGCGCUUGGCUGUCUGCUU